Molecule: unclassified non-coding RNA, 448 nt
Filed under: Orbicella faveolata
Lineage: Eukaryota; Metazoa; Cnidaria; Anthozoa; Scleractinia; Merulinidae
Description: cyclic GMP-AMP synthase-like, transcript variant X2
Source: RNAcentral
GACAUCAAUACAUUUAUUACUUAGGAUCUUUUUGCUUUGGAUUGACUAAUUUUCACGAUUUCGCGAUUUCACGCCUUGCAAAAAUCAGAUAAUGGCACAAGCACAGGCCACCAGAGGAGAUUCGUUAACGAGAAAGCUUCGUAAUUAUUCCGUAAAGUACGUGAAAAUUUCCGAGCCUGAGAUGUCUGACAGUAGAAGAGUGGUGAAAGAUUAUAUUGAAGACCAGGUCAUGAAGUACUGUCAGCAGAAUUCCACACUUCCCAUCUUGAGGCUGGAGUACACUGGGAGCGUGUAUGAGAGGCUGAAAACCGAAGCUGCCAAUGAAGUCGACGUAAUGGUAGUGCUGCAGACGACUAAGUCAGAAGUUGUACUCGAAGGCUGCGGAGUACCUGGUUAUGCCCGGCUCAAGACAAGAAGUGACUCAAAGUUUCGCACCCGUGAUUAUGUA